GAUGAACGCUGGCGGCGUGCCUAAUACAUGCAAGUCGAGCGAACAGAUGAGGAGCUUGCUCCUCUGACGUUAGCGGCGGACGGGUGAGUAACACGUGGAUAACCUACCUAUAAGACUGGGAUAACUUCGGGAAACCGGAGCUAAUACCGGAUAAUAUAUUGAACCGCAUGGUUCAAUAGUGAAAGACGGUUUUGCUGUCACUUAUAGAUGGAUCCGCGCCGCAUUAGCUAGUUGGUAAGGUAACGGCUUACCAAGGCAACGAUGCGUAGCCGACCUGAGAGGGUGAUCGGCCACACUGGAACUGAGACACGGUCCAGCCUCCUACGGGAGGCAGCAGUAGGGAAUCUUCCGCAAUGGGCGAAAGCCUGACGGAGCAACGCCGCGUGAGUGAUGAAGGUCUUCGGAUCGUAAACCUCUGUUAUUAGGGAAGAACAAGUGUGUAAGUAACUAUGCACGUCUUGACGGUACCUAAUCAGAAAGCCACGGCUAACUACGUG
Molecule: ribosomal RNA, 497 nt
Filed under: uncultured bacterium
Lineage: Bacteria
Description: partial 16S ribosomal RNA
Rfam family: Bacterial small subunit ribosomal RNA
Source: RNAcentral